This 787-nucleotide ribosomal RNA is filed under the name Agaricus malakandensis. RNAcentral's name for it is "Agaricus sp. RN-2023c partial large subunit ribosomal RNA". It matches the Rfam family "Eukaryotic large subunit ribosomal RNA", at positions 118 to 892 of the family's 3401-position model. The record is from RNAcentral. Lineage: Eukaryota; Fungi; Basidiomycota; Agaricomycetes; Agaricales; Agaricaceae.
AAAUCUGGUGGUCUAUGGCUGCCCGAGUUGUAAUCUAGAGAAGUAAUGCCCGUGCUGGACCGUGUAUAAGUCUCCUGGGAUGGGGCGUCAUAGAGGGUGAGAAUCCCGUCUUUGACACGGACUACCAGUGCUGUGUGGUAUGCUCUCAAAGAGUCGAGUUGUUUGGGAAUGCAGCUCAAAAUGGGUGGUAAAUUCCAUCUAAAGCUAAAUAUUGGCGAGAGACCGAUAGCGAACAAGUACCGUGAGGGAAAGAUGAAAAGAACUUUGGAAAGAGAGUUAAACAGUACGUGAAAUUGCUGAAAGGGAAACGCUUGAAGUCAGUCGCGUUGGCCAGGGAUCAGCCUUGCUUUUGCAUGGUGUACUUUCUGGUUGACGGGUCAGCAUCAAUUUUGACCACUGGAAAAGGUCCUGGGGAAUGUGACAGCUUAGGCUGUGUUAUAGCCCCUGGUCGCAUACAGUGGUUGGGAUUGAGGAACUCAGCACGCCGCAAGGCCGGGUUUCGACCACGUUCGUGCUUAGGAUGCUGGCAUAAUGGCUUUAAGCGACCCGUCUUGAAACACGGACCAAGGAGUCUAACAUGCCUGCGAGUAUUUGGGUGGCAAACCCGAGUGCGUAAUGAAAGUGAAAGUUGAGAUCCCUGUCAUGGGGAGCAUCGACGCCCGGACCAGAACUUUUGGGACGGAUCCGCGGUGGAGCAUGUAUGUUGGGACCCGAAAGAUGGUGAACUAUGCCUGAAUAGGGUGAAGCCAGAGGAAACUCUGGUGGAGGCUCGUAGCGAUUCUGACGU